This 253-nucleotide ribosomal RNA is filed under the name uncultured bacterium. Its description in RNAcentral is "partial 16S ribosomal RNA". It matches the Rfam family "Bacterial small subunit ribosomal RNA", at positions 524 to 776 of the family's 1533-position model. The record is from RNAcentral.
UACGGAGAGUGCAAACGUUGUUCGGAUUUACUGGGCGUAAAGGGCGCGUAGGCGGCAGAUCAAGUCAGCUGUGAAAUCUCCGAGCUUAACUCGGAACGGUCAGCUGAUACUGUUUUGCUAGAGUACAGAAGGGGCAAUCGGAAUUCUUGGUGUAGCGGUGAAAUGCGUAGAUAUCAAGAGGAACACCUGAGGUGAAGACGGGUUGCUGGGCUGAUACUGACGCUGAGGCGCGAAAGCUAGGGUAGCAAACGGG